ACGCUCGACACCUACGGGAGGCAGCAGUAGGGAAUUUUCGGCAAUGGGACGAAAGCCGUAGACCGAGACAACGCCGCGGUAGAACGGGAAGAAGUCGAAUUACGGUUGGAUUGGUUAAAAACCUUCUUGUUAUUAAAAGGGAAAGAAAACGGGCCGCCUACGUAAGGGAAUAGACACGGGCGAAGUGACGGUACCUUUAUGAGGAACGCCGACGGCUAACUACGUCGCCAACAGCCGCGGUAAUCUGAGCGGGCUGGCAAGGC
This 263-nucleotide ribosomal RNA is filed under the name uncultured bacterium. RNAcentral's name for it is "partial 16S ribosomal RNA". The record is from RNAcentral.